UAUUUAUUUUAGUUUUAGGUUUUGGGGAGAGAACAAAGAAAUAAAGUCUUUGUCACGCCAGUUGGCAAAAAAAAAAACUUAUUGAAAUAGAAUUAUGUGACAAUGGUAGAAUUUGGCAAGAGUAAAAAAAAGGUGUUUGUUUUUUUAAGGCAACUUGAGGUAUUUUGCUAAGAAAACUUUUAAAAUAUUAUGGAAAAGAAUGUUUUAGAGUGAAAGAUACAAAAAUCAUAUAGAUAGAUCAAUUAACGCUGCGAUCAAAAGUGACCAGCAAAAUCGUGACUUUAUUGGCACAAACUCAGCACACGUUUAGUAAUGGAAUACAAACGUUAGACAUGUGUACUUAUUGCAUAUAUUAGCACUUAAAUAUUACAGAUAUGAAUAUAUUAUUAAGCGGAAUUAAUUAAAUACAGUUAAAUUCUGAUGUAUAUAAUUUUCAAAUAAAAUGAAGA
Molecule: long non-coding RNA, 449 nt
Organism: Lucilia cuprina (Australian sheep blowfly)
Lineage: Eukaryota; Metazoa; Arthropoda; Insecta; Diptera; Calliphoridae
Exons: 3
Source: RefSeq, a predicted model, not a curated record